ACUCCUACGGGAGGCAGCAGUGGGGAAUAUUGCACAAUGGGCGCAAGCCUGAUGCAGCAACGCCGUGUGAGUGAAGAAGGUUUUCGGAUCGUAAAACUCUGUCCUAAGGGAAGAAACAAAUGACGGUACCUUAGGAGGAAGCCCCGGCUAACUACGUGCCAGCAGCCGCGGUAAUACGUAGGGGGCAAGCGUUAUCCGGAAUCACUGGGGCGUAAAGGGUGCGUAGGCGGCUUAGCAAGCCAGGGGUGAAAGGCAUUGGCUCAACCAAUGUAAGCCUUUGGAACUGUUAGGCUUGAGUGCAGGAGAGGUAAGUGGAAUUCCUAGUGUAGAGGUGAAAUUCGUAGAUAUUAGGAGGAACACCAGUGGCGAAGGCGACUUACUGGACUGUAACUGACGCUGAUGCACGAAAGCGUGGGUAGCGAACAGGAUUAGAUACCCUGGUAGACUGUCA
Molecule: ribosomal RNA, 451 nt
Filed under: uncultured bacterium
Lineage: Bacteria
Description: bacterial SSU rRNA
Rfam family: Bacterial small subunit ribosomal RNA
Source: RNAcentral